AGCAAGACGUCCAACAACUUUCGACGUAUUUCAUCCGUACCUGGAUCGACUUAGAGUGCUGCCGUGCUAGGGAAGAACGGCGUAUGAACCAUAAGGCGUUGCCAAAUUUCCCUCGACAAAACAAGCAUUUCCUGAAAAUUUGUAAAUAUUUCUCUUUCGAUUUUUCAAGAGGUUACAUUCGUAAUUUGAUCUUAAAGGUCUGAAAAUUUCAAGAAAAAAUAUUCAUAGCUCUCUCUAAAAAUAAAUAUUUUCUUGGAAGAAAUUUGGCAACUCUCGAUCGCUCAUACGGCGUUUUUCCUUAGCGCGGCGGCGUAGGCGUAAGGGUUGGCGGGUGGCAACCCUGGUCCUCCCCUCCCGCCACGACGGGUAAUUGAUUGCUUUUAAACUAUCCGGCCCUACCCGGGCCGGGCGGCGCUUUGUCACAAGUUUAGGCCGUGAAUUACAGACGUGGCUACUAUCGAAAUAUUAAUUUGUAUCUGUGCUUCCAGCUGAGCCCCCGCGGCUUCCGGGGGACCUGAUCGUAUCGGUUGUUGAGAUGUUUGACUUGAAGCAGGCCAUGUUUUGACCCGGUCGUGGUGUGGUGUGGUAGCUGAAGAUUGGUGGUAAUGGAGAUUAGGCGUCAAGUUUCUGAACUGGUGUCUGCUCUCGGUACCUCAGCACUUUAGUGAUACUUUCAUUCAAGGACUUGGACUGGAAUAUUGAAAAAUGAAGUUGAGUAUGAAGUGGUGCGGGUAAAACGCGUGAGGAGUGGAGAGUCAAAACCUGGCAAGUGCCGUUAGGUGCUGACGACAGCUCGGCGCAAUCUUCAUCGGCAGUUGGUCCAAACACGGUCGAAUUACGUUCAGUAACGCAUCGAGGCAUUUCAGACUCAAGAAUGGAACGUCAACAAAAUUACAUGCGUUGCAUGCACCCAAUGGCCCACUCCCCUCUCCUUCACUCUGCAUGGAAGAGAAAGCAAACGUGAGUCUUCGGAGCAAAAAAUUCCAAAAAUAAACACGCUGUGUAAACAGACGGAUAUCAACAAGUUAAACCGUUUUCAGUCCAGACGCUCCGCGGUGGCCGAGAAGGAUAAUUGAAAAAAAAAGAGUUUUCCUUCGC
This 1098-nucleotide long non-coding RNA is filed under the name Bemisia tabaci. RNAcentral describes it as "lncRNA ENSSSA1UGG007182". Lineage: Eukaryota; Metazoa; Arthropoda; Insecta; Hemiptera; Aleyrodidae. The record is from RNAcentral.